GACGAACGCUGGCGGCGUGCCUAAUACAUGCAAGUUGAGCGCUGACGGAUGGUGCUUGUGCCGACAGGAUGAGCAGCGGACGGGUGAGUGACGCGUGGGGAAUCUGCCUUUGAGCGGGGGACAACAUUUGGAAACGAAUGCUAAUACCGCAUAAAAACUUUAAACACAAGUUUCAAGUUUGAAAGAUGCCAUUGCCUCACUCAAAGAUGAUCCCGCGUUGUAUUAGCUAGUUGGUGAGGUAAAGGCCCACCAAGGGAAUGAUACUUAGCGAACCUGGGUGGUUGUCGGCCACAACUGGACUGGGACACGGGUCAAACCUCCUCGGGAAGCAACAGGAGGGGAUUAUUGGACAAGGGCGGAAAGCCUGACGAACAAAUACGGGGUGGGUGAGGAAGGCCUCGGGUCUGAAAAGUCUGUUUGUUGGGAAAGAAGUGCGUCAGGGUAAAACGCUGAUGUAGUGACGGUAACUACAGAAAAAGCAACGGCUAACUACGUG
RNAcentral lists this ribosomal RNA (496 nucleotides) under uncultured bacterium. Its description in RNAcentral is "partial 16S ribosomal RNA". It matches the Rfam family "Bacterial small subunit ribosomal RNA", at positions 28 to 507 of the family's 1533-position model. The record is from RNAcentral.